RNAcentral lists this ribosomal RNA (706 nucleotides) under uncultured bacterium. RNAcentral's name for it is "bacterial SSU rRNA". It matches the Rfam family "Bacterial small subunit ribosomal RNA", at positions 125 to 827 of the family's 1533-position model. The record is from RNAcentral.
CCUGCCGUCUACUCUUGGCCAGCCUUCUGAAAGGAAGAUUAAUCCAGGAUGGGAUCAUGAGUUCACAUGUCCGCAUGAUUAAAGGUAUUUUCCGGUAGACGAUGGGGAUGCGUUCCAUUAGAUAGUAGGCGGGGUAACGGCCCACCUAGUCAACGAUGGAUAGGGGUUCUGAGAGGAAGGUCCCCCACAUUGGAACUGAGACACGGUCCAAACUCCUACGGGAGGCAGCAGUGAGGAAUAUUGGUCAAUGGGCGAUGGCCUGAACCAGCCAAGUAGCGUGAAGGAUGACUGCCCUAUGGGUUGUAAACUUCUUUUAUAAAGGAAUAAAGUCGGGUAUGCAUACCCGUUUGCAUGUACUUUAUGAAUAAGGAUCGGCUAACUCCGUGCCAGCAGCCGCGGUAAUACGGAGGAUCCGAGCGUUAUCCGGAUUUAUUGGGUUUAAAGGGAGCGUAGAUGGAUGUUUAAGUCAGUUGUGAAAGUUUGCGGCUCAACCGUAAAAUUGCAGUUGAUACUGGAUGUCUUGAGUGCAGUUGAGGCGGGCGGAAUUCGUGGUGUAGCGGUGAAAUGCUUAGAUAUCACGAAGAACUCCGAUUGCGAAGGCAGCCUGCUAAGCUGCAACUGACAUUGAGGCUCGAAAGUGUGGGUAUCAAACAGGAUUAGAUACCCUGGUAGUCCACACGGUAAACGAUGAAUACUCGCUGUUUGC